AAAAAAUUGUCCUACGAAAAUUAGUUAUUUGGCAACUCAGAGUAAAACAUGGUACAUAAAAUCCCGCAGGAGAGUUGCUAACACUAGUGUGGGUCAGGAAGUCAUACUGUACCUACGAGAUGAAGAAUCCAAUUGUUCUUUUCUUCUUCGCGGUUUUCGCGAUGCUGAACUCCGCUAUGCCUCUCGAGUAUAGCUACGGCGGUCACAGUUAUAACGCCCCACAGUACAGGGGACAGGGAUAAGUCCCACAGUUUCACCCAUGACAACUCCUGAAGCUUGAAAUGACGCUCAUGUGCAAAAUUGUUGUCCAAAAUUUGAGUAUGUCUAAUGGAAAUAUACUGGUAUAAUCAUAUCCUUUCA
Penaeus chinensis is the source of this 360-nucleotide long non-coding RNA. RefSeq lists it as uncharacterized. The record is from RefSeq and is a predicted model, not a curated record. Lineage: Eukaryota; Metazoa; Arthropoda; Malacostraca; Decapoda; Penaeidae. The transcript has 2 exons.